Molecule: ribosomal RNA, 374 nt
Filed under: uncultured organism
Description: partial 16S ribosomal RNA
Rfam family: Bacterial small subunit ribosomal RNA
Source: RNAcentral
GUAGGUGGCAAGCGUUGUCCGGAAUUAUUGGGCGUAAAGCGCGCGCAGGCGGUUCUUUAAGUCUGAUGUGAAAGCCCACGGCUCAACCGUGGAGGGUCAUUGGAAACUGGAGAACUUGAGUACAGAAGAGGAAAGCGGAAUUCCACGUGUAGCGGUGAAAUGCGUAGAGAUGUGGAGGAACACCAGUGACGAAGGCGGCUUUCUGGUCUGUAACUGACGCUGAGGCGCGAAAGCGUGGGGAGCAAACAGGAUUAGAUACCCUGGUAGUCCACGCCGUAAACGAUGAGUGCUAAGUGUUAGGGGGGUUUUCCGCCCCCCUUAGUGCUGCAGCUAACGCAUUAAGCACUCCGCCUGGGAGUACGGCCGCAAGGCUG